UACGUAGGUGGCAAGCGUUGUCCGGAUUUACUGGGCGUAAAGAGCGCGCAGGCGGUUGAAUCAGUCGGAUGUGAAAGCCCCCGGCUCAACUGGGGAGGGUCAUUCGAUACUGUUCGACUCGAAGGCAGGAGAGGGAAGCGGAAUUCCCGGUGUAGUGGUGAAAUGCGUAGAUAUCGGGAGGAACACCAGUGGCGAAGGCGGCUUUCUGGCCUGUUCUUGACGCUGAGGCGCGAAAGCCAGGGGAGCAAACGGG
Molecule: ribosomal RNA, 253 nt
Filed under: uncultured bacterium
Lineage: Bacteria
Description: partial 16S ribosomal RNA
Rfam family: Bacterial small subunit ribosomal RNA
Source: RNAcentral